Molecule: long non-coding RNA, 781 nt
Filed under: Mytilus galloprovincialis (Mediterranean mussel)
Lineage: Eukaryota; Metazoa; Mollusca; Bivalvia; Mytilida; Mytilidae
Source: RNAcentral
AGUACACAGAUGCGCCAAUCACAUUAUCAUUUUCUAUAUUCAGUGGACCGUGAAAUUGGGGUCAAAACUCUAAUUUGGCAUUAAAAUUAGAAAGAUCAUAUCAUAAGGGACAUGCCUACUAAGUUUCAAGUUGAUAGGACUUAAACUUCAUUAAAAGCUACUGUGACUAAAAACUUUAACCUGAAGCGGGACAGAAGAACGAACGAACAGACGCACAGACCAGAAAUUAUAAUGCUCAUAAAUGGGGCAUAAAAACAAAUAAUAUGUUAGAAUUAAACAACUUAACAUUAUUUAUUAAGUAGUUUAGUCAAGUUUUAAUCCAUUCCUAUGUAAAAUAAAGGGGAUAUGUCUGUUGACAAAGUUUUUUGUGACAAACCGACAGAGGGACAUGACUAAUCUGUCUACCAAUACAAUUGUGGAGGAAACAAUUUGAGGUGAACUUAUUGAUCACAACAUAUAAGUUCAUGGAUAAAAAUAAAAUGCAUAUCAUAAUACAACCUUCAUAUAUACAUCAAAACAUAUAUCUACAUAAUGAUCAAUAAUUGCAUCAUCUUUUAUGUAUGAUUAUGCUGGUGGUUAAUACUUGAUUAAAAUAAUGUUUUAUUUAUGGUUUUAACAAUCAAAUACACCCAUAAAACUGUAAUAAGACAAAAGUCAUGAGAUUGCAGGUUAAUUACAUGACUAUUGUAUUUCCUGCAUGGCCAAUUAUGUAAAGACAGAUUACAACUUUAAAAAGUGUGCCAUUGUAAAACUGUAAACACUUCGUUUACCGGUAUAUUAG